Molecule: ribosomal RNA, 679 nt
Filed under: Stenotrophomonas maltophilia
Lineage: Bacteria; Pseudomonadati; Pseudomonadota; Gammaproteobacteria; Lysobacterales; Lysobacteraceae
Description: bacterial SSU rRNA
Rfam family: Bacterial small subunit ribosomal RNA
Source: RNAcentral
CUCUCUGGGUGGCGAGUGGCGGACGGGUGAGGAAUACAUCGGAAUCUACUUUUUCGUGGGGGAUAACGUAGGGAAACUUACGCUAAUACCGCAUACGACCUACGGGUGAAAGCAGGGGAUCUUCGGACCUUGCGCGAUUGAAUGAGCCGAUGUCGGAUUAGCUAGUUGGCGGGGUAAAGGCCCACCAAGGCGACGAUCCGUAGCUGGUCUGAGAGGAUGAUCAGCCACACUGGAACUGAGACACGGUCCAGACUCCUACGGGAGGCAGCAGUGGGGAAUAUUGGACAAUGGGCGCAAGCCUGAUCCAGCCAUACCGCGUGGGUGAAGAAGGCCUUCGGGUUGUAAAGCCCUUUUGUUGGGAAAGAAAUCCAGCUGGCUAAUACCCGGUUGGGAUGACGGUACCCAAAGAAUAAGCACCGGCUAACUUCGUGCCAGCAGCCGCGGUAAUACGAAGGGUGCAAGCGUUACUCGGAAUUACUGGGCGUAAAGCGUGCGUAGGUGGUCGUUUAAGUCCGUUGUGAAAGCCCUGGGCUCAACCUGGGAACUGCAGUGGAUACUGGGCGACUAGAGUGUGGUAGAGGGUAGCGGAAUUCCUGGUGUAGCAGUGAAAUGCGUAGAGAUCAGGAGGAACAUCCAUGGCGAAGGCAGCUACCUGGACCAACACUGACACUGAGGCACG